GGCCUAAUGGCCCAAUGGCAAGGCGCUUGACUACGAUUGAUCAAUCCGAAAUCAAGAGAUUCCAGGUUCGACCCCUGGUUAGGUCA
Molecule: non-coding RNA, 86 nt
Organism: Cucurbitaria berberidis CBS 394.84
Lineage: Eukaryota; Fungi; Ascomycota; Dothideomycetes; Pleosporales; Cucurbitariaceae
Source: the annotation of a RefSeq genome assembly